UUGGAGGGCAAGUCUGGUGCCAGCAGCCGCGGUAAUUCCAGCUCCAAUAGCGUAUAUUAAAGUUGUUGCAGUUGAAAAGCUCGUAGUUGAAUUUCGAGAUCAAAUUGUUGGUCGUGCCUCGGUACGUACUGGCAUUAUUGAUUUCUCCCUUCUGAAGAACCUUGAUGUCAUUAAUUUGGUGUCUUGGGGAAUCAGGACCGUUACUUUGAAAAAAUUAGAGUGUUUAAAGCAGGCUCACGCUUGUAUACAUUAGCAUGGAAUAAUGAAAUAGGACGUUUGAUUCUAUUUUGUUGGUUUCUAGGAUCGACGUAAUGAUUAAUAGGGAUAGUUGGGGGCAUUAGUAUUCAAUUGUCAGAGGUGAAAUUCUUGGAUUUAUUGAAGACUAACUACUGCGAAAGCAUUUGCCAAGGAUGUUUUCAUUAAUCAAGAACGAAAGUUAGGGGAUCGAAGACGAUCAGAUACCGUCGUAGUCUUAACCAUAAACUAUACCGACUAGGGAUCGGAUGAUGUUAAUUUUUUAAUGACUCAUUCGGCGCCUUACGGGAAACCAAAGUGUUUGGGUUC
RNAcentral lists this ribosomal RNA (564 nucleotides) under uncultured Glomeromycotina. Its description in RNAcentral is "SSU rRNA". It matches the Rfam family "Eukaryotic small subunit ribosomal RNA", at positions 548 to 1114 of the family's 1831-position model. Lineage: Eukaryota; Fungi; Glomeromycota. The record is from RNAcentral.